This is a long non-coding RNA of Salvelinus sp. IW2-2015, 2132 nucleotides long. RefSeq lists it as uncharacterized. The record is from RefSeq and is a predicted model, not a curated record. NCBI's taxonomy places the organism in Eukaryota, Metazoa, Chordata, Actinopteri, Salmoniformes, Salmonidae.
CAAGAUUCCGGUUUAUAAAGUAUUACGUUUGUCUCGAAGGACCAAAUAAUGUUGACAACGAGACUAUAUGUCCAAGAGUGAGGAGCGAUAUUUUGCUGUUUUAUGGCGUCGACAUUUCUGCAGUCUUAAUUGAUCUAAUAACACUCAUUUUUGUUUCUCCCCACAUUAGCAAUAUUUGAGUGGAAUCGAAAUGAAGCUUGCGAUAUUAUAUAUUUGCCUUCUUCAAUUUGCGGCUGUCAACUGUAGGCUUGCUGCGCGUGACAAGACACAUCUUGUUAAAAUUAAAGGAACCGACAAUUUGUCAUCAAAUGAUCUUACGGCCAAGGAAAUAGAGCUGUGGAACCAGGCGAAACCCAGAAGGUUGUUUGCCAGAAGAGGAAUCCAGGAACGCCAGAGAUUGCAUGUGACGCCCAAGGUGAAGCCUGCCCCCCCGACCCCUAAUUGUUCCAAGGUGAUGGAGAGCUGUAUUCCCCACUCUCGCUGCUGUGAUCCCUGUGCACAUUCCUGUCAGCUUCUUCAAUUCCAUCUGCUACUGCUGGAAACUGGGAUGCCACUGCCAGAAGAAAUCUUAACAUACUGACACAGACACACACACACACACACACACACAUGCACAAAACAUUCCACUGUACUGCUGGGCACUGGGCUGUCAUACCUGAAGAUCUGAAGACAUACGUUUACAUACACUCACACGUACACACCACGGGACACACAAUCACUUAUCCUCUAGUGCUGCCUGGAAGUAGCCCACCUACCUCCCCUUCAACCCCUGUACCACCUUAUACACUCAUCAUGUGCUACAAUAUUAUACAAUAUUCGUAGACUACAUUAUGUUUACAUGUAUUUACUGUAUAUGUCAACACUAUCUACAUGUAAAGUCAGAUAUAUUUGUGGGGUAUAAUAUAAUUAGGAUAUACCUGACUGAAACUGCAAAUAAGCUAAUUUUGGACUGCCCAAAUGUCUUAAUAAGCAGUAGUUUUUAUAAGGGCUAAGGAUAUACUUUCCAUAUAUUUUCUCUCCACUGUGUAAUUGUUUUUUACUGUAGGUUUGAGAGCAGACAAAAACCCACAAGUGGAAUAAUGGUGGGAUAGUUAUACAUUAUGUAUGCUAAUGAAUGGCAAUAAACAUUUUAUAUUCAUGAUAAGCCAAAAUUACUCAACAUUUAUUUAGGUAGCUGUAAAGACAUAAUGCAUUAUGUUGCAGGCUUCAAGCAAAGAGUUGCAGAAAAUAGCACAUGUUCCCUUGAUGUUAGGUGGCUUAGUGACAAGCUCCAGCCUUACUAGUGAGAAACUAGCAAAUGUAGGAUAGCCCGAGUGCCCGUCUGGUUUUGCUAUCAUGCCAACUCCUUGUCACUCUGUGCGUUUUGGCUAGACAAAGGACAGCAAUAGAGUUGGAUCGAGAGCUCAAAAAUAUCUAGGUUAAGGGUGGUACAGUAGUUUGCUUCUGGUAGCGCCAAUGUUGCAGACUAUUUUAUCUCUUCUUUUCAAUAAAAGGACUGCUUGUCAGCACAAACUUUACCCAAUACAAACCAAUACUGCCUUACAAAGGCAAAACACAGUAACUACACUUUUGGUCAAAAUUGAGUUAAGACUGAAAUCAGGCUUUGUAGUAUCUGUUUUAUUUUGUGACAAAGUUUCCUGGUUCAAUUAUGUUCCGUUUCAGAGAAAGUGGUGUGUGAAAUUUGCGUUAAAUGCAGAAUCCAAGUAAAACCAAGGGAAAACCUGGUGAUCUGAAAAUAAUAUUUGAGUUCCGGAAAAUCGUUGGCAAUAGAAAGAAGUGUAAGGAACUGGUACCACCGUGUUUUGACAACAGUUACCCGCUCUGCCAUACAAAGGCAAAGAGCAGUAACUACAAAAACAGUGAAACUGAGAAAAAUGGCUUUAAAGUUGAUUUGCUUUCCAGACAAAUAUGUUGUGGGUAGAUAAGUGAAGUAAUUUUUUACGCAUAUCAACCAUGACCACUGAUUUAAACUAUGGACCUUAAGUCAAAUAAAUUACCAUACAACGUCAAACAUGAAAAACAACAAGAAAGUUGGAUAAACACAUUUAGAUUGUAUAUACAUUUUUUAAGUAUAAACAUUCUGCGUGGUGAAAUAGUCCUUACCUUAUGGUGGAAGAAAUGCUUGAGGGUUG